AGUCUGACCUGCCCUAUGAUAUUUAUAUUAAAUGGCCGCGAUAAUUUGAUCGUGCAAAGGUAGCAUAAUCAUUAGUUUUUUAAUUGGGAACUGGAAUGAAAGGUCGAACGAGAAAAAGACUGUCUCAAUUUAAAUUUAAUUAGAAUUUUAUUUUUAAGUAAAAAAGCUUAAAUAAUUUUAAAAGACGAGAAGACCCUAUAGAGUUUUAUAUUUAAUGUUUUUAGAAAAAAUUUAAGAAUUUUUUUUUUUUUAUUUAUAUUAAGUAUUUGGUUGGGGUGAUUAAAAAAUUGAAUGAACUUUUUUUAUUUAUAAAACAUUGAUAUAUGAUUAAGUGAUCCAUUUGUUAUGAUUAAAAGAUUAAAUUACCUUAGGGAUAACAGCGUUAUUUUUUUUGAGAGUUCUUAUCGAAAAAAAAGUUUGCGACCUCGAUAUUGGA
Molecule: ribosomal RNA, 436 nt
Filed under: Onthophagus vividus
Lineage: Eukaryota; Metazoa; Arthropoda; Insecta; Coleoptera; Scarabaeidae
Description: partial large subunit ribosomal RNA
Rfam family: Bacterial large subunit ribosomal RNA
Source: RNAcentral